This 253-nucleotide ribosomal RNA is filed under the name uncultured bacterium. Its description in RNAcentral is "partial 16S ribosomal RNA". It matches the Rfam family "Bacterial small subunit ribosomal RNA", at positions 524 to 776 of the family's 1533-position model. The record is from RNAcentral.
UACGUAGGGUGCGAGCGUUAAUCGGAAUUACUGGGCGUAAAGCGUGCGCAGGCGGUUUUGUAAGCCAGAUGUGAAAGCCCCGGGCUCAACCUGGGAAUGGCAUUUGGGACUGCAAGGCUGGAGUUUGGCAGAGGAGACUGGAAUUCCUGGUGUAGCAGUGAAAUGCGUAGAUAUCAGGAGGAAUACCGAUGGCGAAGGCAGGUCUCUGGGCUAUAACUGACGCUGAGACGCGAAAGCGUGGGGAGCAAACAGG